RNAcentral lists this ribosomal RNA (861 nucleotides) under Oceanobacillus sp. SQ66BX. Its description in RNAcentral is "bacterial SSU rRNA". It matches the Rfam family "Bacterial small subunit ribosomal RNA", at positions 94 to 952 of the family's 1533-position model. The record is from RNAcentral. Lineage: Bacteria; Bacillati; Bacillota; Bacilli; Caryophanales; Bacillaceae.
AGUGGCGAACGGGUGAGUAAUAUAUCGGAACGUACCCUAGAGUGGGGGAUAACGUAGCGAAAGUUACGCUAAUACCGCAUACGAUCUAAGGAUGAAAGUGGGGGAUCGCAAGACCUCAUGCUCGUGGAGCGGCCGAUAUCUGAUUAGCUAGUUGGUAGGGUAAAAGCCUACCAAGGCAUCGAUCAGUAGCUGGUCUGAGAGGACGACCAGCCACACUGGAACUGAGACACGGUCCAGACUCCUACGGGAGGCAGCAGUGGGGAAUUUUGGACAAUGGGCGAAAGCCUGAUCCAGCAAUGCCGCGUGAGUGAAGAAGGCCUUCGGGUUGUAAAGCUCUUUUGUCAGGGAAGAAACGGUGAGAGCUAAUAUCUCUUGCUAAUGACGGUACCUGUAGAAUAAGCACCGGCUAACUACGUGCCAGCAGCCGCGGGAAUACGUAGGGUGCAAGCGUUAAUCGGAAUUACUGGGCGUAAAGCGUGCGCAGGCGGUUUUGUAAGUCUGAUGUGAAAUCCCCGGGCUCAACCUGGGAAUUGCAUUGGAGACUGCAAGGCUAGAAUCUGGCAGAGGGGGGUAGAAUUCCACGUGUAGCAGUGAAAUGCGUAGAUAUGUGGAGGAACACCGAUGGCGAAGGCAGCCCCCUGGGUCAAGAUUGACGCUCAUGCACGAAAGCGUGGGGAGCAAACAGGAUUAGAUACCCUGGUAGUCCACGCCCUAAACGAUGUCUACUAGUUGUCGGGUCUUAAUUGACUUGGUAACGCAGCUAACGCGUGAAGUAGACCGCCUGGGGAGUACGGUCGCAAGAUUAAAACUCAAAGGAAUUGACGGGGACCCGCACAAGCGGUGGAUGAUGUGGAUUAAUUC